This 964-nucleotide long non-coding RNA is filed under the name Serinus canaria (Common canary). RNAcentral describes it as "lncRNA (ENSSCAG00000014163.1)". The record is from RNAcentral. Lineage: Eukaryota; Metazoa; Chordata; Aves; Passeriformes; Fringillidae.
CGGUCUCUGAACAAAUAAUUCUGCUCUUCCCUGUUUUCAGCGUUUCUGUUGUUCCCUCCCUCAUUCUACAGAGGGGAGCACCAGGGACAGGGAAGAAGGAAGUCCUACAGCCGGGCUAGUUUCGUUGCUUUAAGCAACAGUGAUGUUUUUUUCUGCUUUUCUGAAGGGUGUUUGUCCUGCUUCUAGCUGUUCAAAGUCCUAACAUUGUUAUUGCUAAGAAAGGUAAAAGAAGAAGAGCCUGUGCACUGGCUGCUGGAUCAAUCAAGGAACGGGAAGAAAAGCAGAGCUUUGCCUUAGCAGUCCCCGCCAUGUGUGGGGUACAAAGAAGGCAAAAAAGAGUACUCUGGUGAGAGAAGCACCUGUGAUGCAUUUGACAGAGCUCCAGAGCAGUCACAGCCAACACCUCCAUGGCCCUUUGGGCAAGCAGUUAGAACAAGUUAUAUCCUCGGACCAUUGGCUCUGGAAGGGAAGAUACUGCCAGUUACAAGCACAGCAAUGAGAUUACCUAGAAUCCCCAAAGAAACCAUCUUGGUGCAGAUUUCGACCUUUCUGUGCCUCAUCUUUUAUAAACAUAGUUGGGCUCAUCAGAUCCAUCUGCUGCUGUGGGUAGUCUUCUCCAGCACCAUGGUGAGAUGGAGUAUCAUCACUUCCAUGCUGAGAGGCCACAGAAUUAUUACAGCUAUCUUCUGAGUUCUCUUUACUACCAUCCAUGUUUUCUGGGGUAUUAGUGAUGGAAAAAGGGGAUGCUGAAUCUUCAUGGACAUGAUCAAAAAGAUCACCCCCUUUAUUUUCCUCAGAAUCUGAAACCUCAGAGACAGUGGUUGUGUUAACAUUUUGAUUGAUGUCAGUGAAGACUGGAUCUUCCAUGGCUGCUGGCUGGUGAGCUUUGCCUGUCUGCUGGUACCUUACAGACUACAAUUAAAGUGAGAUGUUGACAGACAAGGCUCCUCAAGAGGAAGCAGAG